Non-coding RNA from Pelobates cultripes (western spadefoot toad), 276 nucleotides. Lineage: Eukaryota; Metazoa; Chordata; Amphibia; Anura; Pelobatidae. The record is from the annotation of a GenBank genome assembly.
UUGUGAUCUUGUCUCAAGCGGUGGAACACCGUGUAAUUGACUGGAAUAGCUGCCUCUAGAAUAGGCCCCGGAUUUUCAUCUAGCCAUGAUUCAGUAAUGCACUCUAAUUCGCAUGUUUCAAUAAGGUCGGUAACAAUAGCUGUUUUGUUCCUUAUUGAUCUGGCAUUGCACAGGAUUGAUAGGAUAGUCUUGGGAUUCUGAGCCUUUGCUCUGUACUUUGGAAACAGUGUGUCUUCUAGUGGGGAUCACACAAAGAGGUUACCUUGAGGUUUUUGU